CAGUCGCCACGGGAAUACGAAGGGGGCUAGCGUCGUUCGGAUUUACUGGGCGUAAAGCGCACGUAGGCGGACUUUUAAGUCAGGGGUGAAAUCCCGGGGCUCAACCCCGGAACUGCCUUUGAUACUGGAAGUCUUGAGUAUGGUAGAGGUGAGUGGAAUUCCGAGUGUAGAGGUGAAAUUCGUAGAUAUUCGGAGGUACACCAGUGGCGAAGGCGGCUCACUGGCUCGAUACUGACGCAGAGGUGCGAAAGCGUGGGGAGCAAACAGGAUUAGAGACCCCGGUAGUCCCUGUCUCUUAUAC
Molecule: ribosomal RNA, 301 nt
Filed under: uncultured bacterium
Lineage: Bacteria
Description: partial 16S ribosomal RNA
Rfam family: Bacterial small subunit ribosomal RNA
Source: RNAcentral